Long non-coding RNA from Zalophus californianus (California sea lion), 466 nucleotides. RefSeq lists it as uncharacterized. NCBI's taxonomy places the organism in Eukaryota, Metazoa, Chordata, Mammalia, Carnivora, Otariidae. The record is from RefSeq and is a predicted model, not a curated record. The transcript is spliced from 3 exons.
ACAACGGAAUGUGUCUCUAAGACCUUCUGUAUGGAUACACGUGUGCUUAAAAACAGCCCCGCCUGUGCGUAUAGCACUUGCUGUGUCAACGCUUUACAGGAGCUAUUGCACUUAAGCCUCAGAACAACUUUAUGAGGAUGCAGACUUACAAGUGGAUUUUCCAGUAGGAUCUUCAUAGCCAGCCUAUUUUUCUUUGUUUUAGGCUUAUUUCUAACAGCCUUGUUUAUGUGUAUUAUUAUUCUAUCCUGGAUUGGAAUCAGAAAAUUGGACAGUGUUGUAGGUACUGAUUGAUGUAGGCAUGCUGAUAGCCGCAAAAGUGAAAAUUGGUAUUUCCAUAAGAAAAGACAGUACAUGUUCCUACAGAGAUCUGUACAUGAAUAUUCAUAGUAGCUUUAUUUUUAACAGUCUCCAAUUUGAAACAACUCAAAUGUCACCAACAGAUAAAUGGUUAAAUAAAUUGUGAUAU